GCCAGGUGCGGUGGCGUGUGCCUGUAGUCCCAGCUCCUCAGGAGACUGAAGCUGGAGGAUCGUUUGAGUCCAGGAGUUCUGGACUGUAGCAUGCUGUAGGGACAGGUGUCUGCACUAAGUUCAGCAUCAAUAUGGUGACCUCCCAGGAGUGGAGGACAACCAGGUUGCCUAAGGAGGGGUGAACCGGCCCGGAAACAAAGUAGGUCAAAAUUCCUGUGCUGAUCUGUAGCGGAAUCGCACCUGUGAAUAGCUACUGCUUGCCAGCCUGGGCAACAUAGCGAGACUCUGUCUCAA
Callithrix jacchus (white-tufted-ear marmoset) is the source of this 294-nucleotide unclassified non-coding RNA. It matches the Rfam family "Metazoan signal recognition particle RNA". Rfam says of the family: The signal recognition particle (SRP) is a universally conserved ribonucleoprotein. It is involved in the co-translational targeting of proteins to membranes. The eukaryotic SRP consists of a 300-nucleotide 7S RNA and six proteins: SRPs 72, 68, 54, 19, 14, and 9. The record is from Ensembl. Lineage: Eukaryota; Metazoa; Chordata; Mammalia; Primates; Cebidae.